UGGGGGAUAUUGCACAAUGGGCGAAAGCCUGAUGCAGCGACGCCGCGUGGGGGAUGAAGGCUUUCGGGUUGUAAACCUCUUUCGCUAUCGAACAAGGCCCGCUUAGGGUGGGGUGAGGGUAGGUGGAGAAGAAGCGCCGGCUAACUACGUGCCAGCAGCCGCGGUAAUACGUAGGGCGCGAGCGUUGUCCGGAAUUAUUGGGCGUAAAGGGCUUGUAGGCGGCUUGUUGCGCCUGCUGUGAAAGCGCGGGGCUUAACUUCGCGCGUGCAGUGGGUACGGGCAGGCUUGAGUGUGGUAGGGGUGACUGGAAUUCCAGGUGUAGCGGUGGAAUGCGCAGAUAUCUGGAGGAACACCGAUGGCGAAGGCAGGUCACUGGGCCAUUACUGACGCUGAGGAGCGAAAGCAUGGGUAGCGAACAGG
RNAcentral lists this ribosomal RNA (420 nucleotides) under bacterium. RNAcentral's name for it is "partial 16S ribosomal RNA". It matches the Rfam family "Bacterial small subunit ribosomal RNA", at positions 355 to 776 of the family's 1533-position model. The record is from RNAcentral.